GGGACCGAGCUGGGACGGGGACAGGAGCCCGGGGUCACAGCGUCGCGUUCUCUCCUGUCCCCGUCCCAAAUGAAAUUUCGCUCCUUAGCCCUUAUAAAUCCACCCAGUACUCGGCUGAAACACCGCCAGACUGCCUUAUUUUAUGCAAAGACCACACCGUGCUUUUGAUGUCCAGGUCAUGUUGUGCAAGAGAGCGUUUACUUUAGGCCUCAAAGUGUGUAAAAACACUUCACUGCUAUGAAGAAGGUGAGGAACCAGACCUGAACCACUACGAGCAGGAUGGUGAUGAUUGUAUUACCUCUUGCACAUGGAACACCACAGUUAUUUCUCCUAUUGCCAGCCCAAUGGGACAACAGAAAAAGUGAAAGUCUGUUAAAACAACACAGAGCAGUGAUGGCCAAAUGAGGAAAUAUAUGAAUGUCAAACAAUAA
Molecule: long non-coding RNA, 431 nt
Organism: Empidonax traillii (willow flycatcher)
Lineage: Eukaryota; Metazoa; Chordata; Aves; Passeriformes; Tyrannidae
Exons: 2
Source: RefSeq, a predicted model, not a curated record